This 372-nucleotide ribosomal RNA is filed under the name uncultured organism. RNAcentral describes it as "partial 16S ribosomal RNA". It matches the Rfam family "Bacterial small subunit ribosomal RNA", at positions 527 to 896 of the family's 1533-position model. The record is from RNAcentral.
GUAGGUGGCAAGCGUUGUCCGGAAUUAUUGGGCGUAAAGCGCGCGCAGGCGGUUUUUAAGUCUGAUGUGAAAGCCCACGGGCUCAACCGUGGAGGGUCAUUGGAAACUGGAGAACUUGAGUACAGAAGAGGAAAGCGGAAUUCCACGUGUAGCGGUGAAAUGCGUAGAGAUGUGGAGGAACACCAGUGGCGAAGGCGGCUUUCUGGUCUGUAACUGACGCUGAGGCGCGAAAGCGUGGGGAGCAAACAGGAUUAGAUACCCUGGUAGUCCACGCCGUAAACGAUGAGUGCUAAGUGUUAGGGGGUUCCCGCCCCUUAGUGCUGCAGCUAACGCAUUAAGCACUCCGCCUGGGGAGUACGGCCGCAAAGGCUG